GAAGGUGGCCUGUGAGGGUUGCUGGAGGUAUCAGAAGUGCGAAUGCUGACAUAAGUAACGAUAAAGCGGGUGAAAAGCCCGCUCGCCGGAAGACCAAGGGUUCCUGUCCAACGUUAAUCGGGGCAGGGUGAGUCGACCCCUAAGGCGAGGCCGAAAGGCGUAGUCGAUGGGAAACAGGUUAAUAUUCCUGUACUUGGUGUUACUGCGAAGGGGGGACGGAGAAGGCUAUGUUGGCCGGGCGACGGUUGUCCCGGUUUAAGCGUGUAGGCUGGUUUUCCAGGCAAAUCCGGCUUUAAAACUGAGGCGUGAUGACGAGGCACUACGGUGCUGAAGCAACAAAUGCCCUGCUUCCAGGAAAAGCCUCUAAGCAUCAGGUAACAUCAAAUCGUACCCCAAACCGACACAGGUGGUCAGGUAGAGAAUACCAAGGCGCUUGAGAGAACUCGGGUGAAGGAACUAGGCAAAAUGGUGCCGUAACUUCGGGAGAAGGCACGCUGACACGUAGGUGAAGUGAUUUACUCAUGGAGCUGAAGUCAGUCGAAGAUACCAGCUGGCUGCAACUGUUUAUUAAAAACACAGCACUGUGCAAACACGAAAGUGGACGUAUACGGUGUGACGCCUGCCCGGUGCCGGAAGGUUAAUUGAUGGGGUCAGCGCAAGCGAAGCUCCUGAUCGAAGCCCCGGUAAACGGCGGCCGUAACUAUAACGGUCCUAAGGUAGCGAAAUUCCUUGUCGGGUAAGUUCCGACCUGCACGAAUGGCGUAAUGAUGGCCAGGCUGUCUCCACCCGAGACUCAGUGAAAUUGAACUCGCUGUGAAGAUGCAGUGUACCCGCGGCAAGACGGAAAGACCCCGUGAACCUUUACUAUAGCUUGACACUGAACAUUGAGCCUUGAUGUGUAGGAUAGGUGGGAGGCUUUGAAGUGUGGACGCCAGUCUGCAUGGAGCCGACCUUGAAAUACCACCCUUUAAUGUUUGAUGUUCUAACGUGGACCCGUGAUCCGGGUUGCGGACAGUGUCUGGUGGGUAGUUUGACUGGGGCGGUCUCCUCCUAAAGAGUAACGGAGGAGCACGAAGGUUGGCUAAUCCUGGUCGGACAUCAGGAGGUUAGUGCAAUGGCAUAAGCCAGCUUGACUGCGAGCGUGACGGCGCGAGCAGGUGCGAAAGCAGGUCAUAGUGAUCCGGUGGUUCUGAAUGGAAGGGCCAUCGCUCAACGGAUAAAAGGUACUCCGGGGAUAACAGGCUGAUACCGCCCAAGAGUUCAUAUCGACGGCGGUGUUUGGCACCUCGAUGUCGGCUCAUCACAUCCUGGGGCUGAAGUAGGUCCCAAGGGUAUGGCUGUUCGCCAUUUAAAGUGGUACGCGAGCUGGGUUUAGAACGUCGUGAGACAGUUCGGUCCCUAUCUGCCGUGGGCGCUGGAGAACUGAGGGGGGCUGCUCCUAGUACGAGAGGACCGGAGUGGACGCAUCACUGGUGUUCGGGUUGUCAUGCCAAUGGCACUGCCCGGUAGCUAAAUGCGGAAGAGAUAAGUGCUGAAAGCAUCUAAGCACGAAACUUGCCCCGAGAUGAGUUCUCCCUGAGACUUAGAGUCUCCUGAAGGAACGUUGAAGACGACGACGUUGAUAGGCCGGGUGUGUAAGCGCAGCGAUGCGUUGAGCUAACCGGUACUAAUGAACCGUGAGGCUUAACCUUACAACGCCGAAG
Molecule: ribosomal RNA, 1703 nt
Filed under: Salmonella enterica subsp. enterica serovar Anatum
Lineage: Bacteria; Pseudomonadati; Pseudomonadota; Gammaproteobacteria; Enterobacterales; Enterobacteriaceae
Description: partial 23S ribosomal RNA
Rfam family: Bacterial large subunit ribosomal RNA
Source: RNAcentral